This 274-nucleotide ribosomal RNA is filed under the name uncultured bacterium. RNAcentral's name for it is "partial 16S ribosomal RNA". It matches the Rfam family "Archaeal small subunit ribosomal RNA", at positions 473 to 747 of the family's 1478-position model. The record is from RNAcentral.
AAACCAGCACCUCAAGUGGUCAGGAUGAUUAUUGGGCCUAAAGCAUCCGUAGCCUGCUCUGUAAGUUUUCGGUUAAAUCUGUACGCUCAACGUACAGGCUGCUGGGAAUACUGCAGAGCUAGGGAGUGGGAGAGAUAGACGGUACUCGGGAGGAAGUGGUAAAAUGCUUUGAUCUCUCGAUGACCACCUGUGGCGAAGGCGGUCUAUCAGAACACGUCCGACGGUGAGGGAUGAAAGCUGGGGGAGCAAACCGGAUUAGAAACCCCAGUAGUCC